GUUAGGAAUAUUGGACAAUGGGCGAAAGCCUGAUCCAGCCAUGCCGCGUGAACGAUGAAGGCCUUCGGGUUGUAAAGUUCUUUAGCCGAUGAUUAUAAUGACUGUAGUCGGAAAAUAAGCCCCGGCUAACUUCGUGCCAGCAGCCGCGGUAAUACGAAGGGGGCGAGCGUUAUUCGGAAUCACUGGGCGUAAAGCGUGCGUAGGCGGUUUUGUAAGUUAGUAGUGAAAGCCCAGGGCUCAACCUUGGAAUUGCUCUUAAAACUGCAAGGCUCGAAUCUCGGAGAGGAUAGCGGAAUUUCCAGUGUAGCAGUGAAAUGCGUAGAUAUUGGAAGGAACACCAGUGGCGUAAGCGGCUAUCUGGACGAGUAUUGACGCUGAGGCACGAAAGCGUGGGGAUCAAACAGGAUUAGAAACCCGAGUAGUCC
RNAcentral lists this ribosomal RNA (425 nucleotides) under uncultured bacterium. RNAcentral describes it as "partial 16S ribosomal RNA". It matches the Rfam family "Bacterial small subunit ribosomal RNA", at positions 354 to 796 of the family's 1533-position model. The record is from RNAcentral.